CGUGAUAAGCGGGAGGAAGGUGUGGAUGACGUCAAGUCCUCAUGGCCCUUACGGGUUGGGCUACACACGUGCUACAAUGGUGGUGACAGUGGGUUAAUCCCCAAAAGCCAUCUCAGUUCGGAUUGUCGUCUGCAACUCGACGGCAUGAAGUCGGAAUCGCUAGUAAUCGCGUAACAGCAUGACGCGGUGAAUACGUUCCCGGGCCUUGUACACACCGCCCGUCACACCAUGGGAGUUGGGUUUACCCGAAGACGGUGCGCCAACCUUUAUAGGGGGCAGCUGGCCACGGUAAGCUCAGCGACUGGGGUGAAGUCGUAACAAGGUAGCCGUAGGGGAACCUGCGGCUGGAUCACCUCCUUUCUAA
RNAcentral lists this ribosomal RNA (364 nucleotides) under Roseovarius sp. HI0049. RNAcentral's name for it is "bacterial SSU rRNA". It matches the Rfam family "Bacterial small subunit ribosomal RNA", at positions 1154 to 1533 of the family's 1533-position model. The record is from RNAcentral. Lineage: Bacteria; Pseudomonadati; Pseudomonadota; Alphaproteobacteria; Rhodobacterales; Roseobacteraceae.